This 68-nucleotide transfer RNA is filed under the name Astictopterus jama. Its description in RNAcentral is "tRNA-Cys". Lineage: Eukaryota; Metazoa; Arthropoda; Insecta; Lepidoptera; Hesperiidae. The record is from RNAcentral.
AGCCUUAUAUUCAAUAAUGAUAUAAAAUUGCAAAUUUUAAGGAGUAAGGGUAAAAAUUACUAAGGCUU